GUGUCAGCAGCCGCGGUAAUACGUAGGGUGCAAGCGUUAAUCGGAAUUACUGGGCGUAAAGCGUGCGCAGGCGGUUUUGUAAGACAGAGGUGAAAUCCCCGGGCUCAACCUGGGAACUGCCUUUGUGACUGCAAGGCUUGAGUGCGGCAGAGGGGGAUGGAAUUCCGCGUGUAGCAGUGAAAUGCGUAGAUAUGCGGAGGAACACCGAUGGCGAAGGCAAUCCCCUGGGCCUGCACUGACGCUCAUGCACGAAAGCGUGGGGAGCAAACAGGAUUAGAUACCCUAGUAGUCC
This 292-nucleotide ribosomal RNA is filed under the name uncultured bacterium. RNAcentral's name for it is "partial 16S ribosomal RNA". It matches the Rfam family "Bacterial small subunit ribosomal RNA", at positions 505 to 796 of the family's 1533-position model. The record is from RNAcentral.